RNAcentral lists this small nuclear RNA (61 nucleotides) under Sapajus apella (tufted capuchin). RNAcentral's name for it is "Cebus apella (Tufted capuchin) U7 small nuclear RNA". It matches the Rfam family "U7 small nuclear RNA". From Rfam's summary of the family: Animal histone pre-mRNAs are spliced by a different mechanism than nuclear pre-mRNAs and self-splicing introns. This processing involves the U7 snRNP, which contains only one RNA species: U7. RNAcentral also lists the same sequence under 1 other name. The record is from Rfam by way of RNAcentral. Lineage: Eukaryota; Metazoa; Chordata; Mammalia; Primates; Cebidae.
AAGUGUUACAGCUCUUUAGAAUUUGUCUAGCAGGCUUUCCAGUUUUUGCCUGAAAGCCCCC